AGCCCGCCCGGCACCCGUACUCUGUCCGUCAGGAAAAUAAGCACCACCCCCGCCACGCUUCCUAGGAGGGCAGCACAAACGGUCCGUGGAGGAUUAGUGCCUGCGCUCAGAGCCUCCAGAGGAGACAGCCGCAUUCCGCCUCCCACCACCCCUUCCCUCCUUCUUUGUUUCCGGGUUGGAGUUACGAAAUUGAGUUUUCCAGGUCAAAGAUUUGGAGAGAUUUUCCCCCUAUUUAAUCUGCUGUGUUUCAUCCCACUGAAUUCUCAGCCCACCUAAGAUCAUUUAAGUAGCACUUCAUUAAGAAUGAUAAAGACAUUGGGAGAAGCCAGGAUGCUUUCAACCAACAUUUCCAUCAUCUGUCAUCUGGCUUGAUAAGUAGCACUUCCAAUGUGAGGCAUCAGGGUGUUCUUCAACUUCAACAAAGAAUGAUCUCUGGGCAGGAGCCCUGGUGUAUCACAUCCAGUGCUGUCUCCUUACUAACCUUUAACAUCUGAAGACCUUCCACCAGGGCAUCUUGAUCAACUAAUAGACAUUUACCAGUGUGUUAAAUGAUGUGAUAAAGGAUGCAAAUCAACAGCCAGAUGAAGAGAUGCCUAGGGCGACAUGUGGGAAAAGGGUACAAGUUUUCAUGCCCUCUCCAGGCCACCACUCUCCCCAUAUCUCCACCUGCUCACCAAUCUGGCAGCUCCUCUCCUUUCCUCUUUUGAAGUAUCCAUUCUGUCUGAUGGCUUUUACAUCCAUACUUCCUUCAUUCCAGCAGUGGCCCUGCCAGCUGUCAGAGGACUGAAAUCUUCAUGGACCCAUUCUGGAGUUUUCUUUUGUUAUGUUAUGUUAUGUUAUGUUAUGUUAUGUUAUGUUAUGUUAUGUUAUGUUAUUUUUAGAGAGAGAAGUGGGGGGAAAGGGGCAAAGAGAGAGAGAGAGAAUCCCAAGCAGGCUCCACACUCAGUGCAGAGACCAAUGUAGGGGCUUGAUCCGAUGACACUGGGAUCAUAACCUGAACCAAAUCAAGAGUCAGAUGCCCAACCCACUGAGCCACCCAGGCACUCCUGGGGUUUUCUUCUAUGAGUUGUUCUUUUCUCCAACCAUUCUAAUGAUUCUCUGAUCUGCCCUCUAUUACUUAAUACAUUCCUUUUCUGCUCACUUUUCCUAGAGGCUGUUUCUGCUACUUCCAAAUAAGAGCCAUUACUGAUUCAUUUGUUAAAUUUGAUGCCAUAACCUGGACGUUAACUAGAACUACCCUGCCCUGAUGAUUUAGAUAAAAUUGAUUCAAACUACAUUCAAUAGGUUGCGGAAAGUCCAAUGUCUUCUCCAAGAUUUCUACACAUUCUACAGGAGAUCUAGGUUCUCAUGGACACAUCUGACUCAGUCUUUUGCUUCCUCUAAAUCAGGAUUUCUCAACCUUGACAUUUUAGGCUGGACAAUUCUUUCUUGUGGGUGGCUGUCUUGCACACUGGAGGAAUUUUGGCAGCACUCCUGGCUGCUACCCACUUGAUGCUAGCGGUUACUCUGUCCUAGUUAUGAUCAUCAAAAGUGUCUCCAGACAUUACUAAAUGUUGCCUGGGGGGCAAAAUCACUCCUACUUCGGAACCACUAUCCUAAAUUAGUUCAGUGUAGGAACUGACACCUAUUGUCCCUGUUGUCACCAAGUCAACAUAGGCAUGGUACUCAAACUUUUUUCUUAAUUUCCACCAUUUUUUUUAAGUCACAAAAGGUACCUCUACUGGUAGAAAAUAUGACGGAAGUUCUGGGGAAAUUGAGAGAUUUUCAUCAUGAGUAUGCAACCAAUAAGAAUUUGUUAGGUGCCCGUAUUCUUAAAAACUUCUCUUGGUCAUUUUGUCUAGCCUCUGGCCACAUUGCUUGCCCCUCCUUGGUUUCUCUUCCCUUAUCUCUCUUUACCUUCUCUAUUCUCUGUUCUUCCCUACUUGCAAAUUUGUGUCCAUUUUCAAUUCAGUGGUUUAGUUAUAUUAUUUUACUUCUCUGUACCAACUCAUCUCCUUAGGGUCUUACUUUCCACCCCUAAUUGGUGAAUUGAGGUAUUUUUCUGAACAAAAAAGGCACCUCUCCCAUAGUAAUUCUGUAACCUAUUAUGAUAAUUAAAAUGGAAUCUUGUUGCAGUUCUCACUGACAAGCUCCCUCUAUGUAGCCACGGUAGUAUUAACCCCUUUCACAGGAAGAAAGCUAUUCUCAUUAUCUACUGCAGCAUAACAACUGACCAAAACUUAGUGGCUUAAAAUAACAACUGUUCCGUCAUAUCUCUCUUCAAAUGGCAUAUCCACGUGGUUAGCUUGGAUUCCUCCAGCAGGCUAUGCCUGGACUCGUUCACUUUUUACAUGGUGGCUCAGGGCUCCUGGAGGAAGGGCUGUAUGUACCAAGAAGAGAGAGCUGCCAGUGUCUUAAACCUUGAGUCUUCAGUGUCCCUUUUCACAUAUGGGUCAAAGUAGUCACAGAGCCUGUCAGAUUCAAGUCAAAGUGUUGUAUCUUUAUUUUACAACAAAUUUUGAUGUUACUCCUUCAUGCCAGUUACCCUCUUCCCCACCCAGGACCCCUCCAAAGUUCCAUUCCAUCAGACUCAGACUUGAGAUCUAGGUUUUUGAUGCAUCAGAUAACUAAAAAAAAAGAGCCAAGAGAGCCUGGUGCUCUGAAAGCUGAGGAACAGAUGGAUCUCAAGAAGAUCAAGUAACAGAGAUGAGGAGAGGAGAGCUUUGGCUGUGGCCAAUGGAAGACUUGGGUCCCCUACUCACUCCUUCACUGUGAUGGUGAUGCUGGGAGCCAGAGACCUUGUUUAUUUCCCUUAUUAUAUAUGUUUCUUUUCCUGAUGACACAGCACAUGUUUCUUAUAGAAAUUCAGAAAAUAUGGAAAAUUAUAAAAAAAGAAAGUGUAAUGCAUAGAUAACCCCUGAAACCUUGCAUUGAAUUGAUUUCUGUAUUCUUUAUAUAAACAUGAAUACUUACAGAUGCAUGUAUAUAUGAGCAUAUGUGUAUACAUAUUUAUUCCUUUUUACUCCCGUGCUUCCUCUGAUUGUUCAAUCACCAGCAAGACUGUGUGUGUGUGUGUGUGUGUGUGUGUGUGUGUGUGUGCGCGCGCGCGCACUCAGGGUAAGGUCACAGCAGGAAUGUGAAGAGAAAGGAAGGAGACAAUUAUCAGUAUUUACAUUUUCUAAAUAGACUUGACAUUCCUGGAAGAGACAUUACUUAGAGAAAAAAGAUUUCUGAGUCUCCAAGUUUGCCUUUGGGGACAAAAGCUCAAUUUUAUCUUUGUAAAUAAUAGACUUUGGAAGCAUGAGUGAUGUAGGAGUCAAUUUUCCUGCCGUGGAUUUGAUAGAAAUGUCACAGCUGAGCAAGGAGAGAUUUGGGAGGAAUGAUGGAGUUUUGGUGUUGGUCUAGGUCUCACAGACACUCCCAUACUUUGCAGAAUAAUGGAAGUCCUACAGUGGUGGGGCCGGGACCUCAAGCAGAGGACUAUAUACUGAUUCCCGGGGAAAUCUGAGGGGGCAGUGAUAAUGGCACAGAAGUCUCUCGUGCUCACACAUCACAGCAGUAAUGAAGAAAUGAGCAAAACAAGGCAAGUCUAGCUGGAGAGCUCACCCCACGUUGCCUGUGGCCAAGGAGGCUUGGGAAAGUGCCCUGGGGUUUCAUUUGCUCCAAAGGUGUAGAGAAGGACCAAGAGAAGGCAGAGAGACAACUCUUGAUGGAGCCAUAAGUGUCUAAGUGGAGGCAAGCCCACCACGUGCAAAUCACCAGAUAAACAAAGACAAGUGAUGGCUCAACCUAUGCCAGUGACAGACAGAGGGUGAGGAAGGACCGGCCUUUCCUCGCUCUGUGCUGCCACAAUCCAGUGGACAGAGGGGCCAAUCUAAUGGAAGGAGGAGGGAAGCAGUAGAUCCCUUAAAUGAUUGUUUAAACACAAGCGCUGAAGAAAACCCUGGUGUGAUUGAGCUACCUCAUAGCUAACCAGAUCCAUUUUUUUGUCCAUCAAGCAAAAUGAAGGAUUAAAGCAAAAAUCAAGUUGAGAUUUAAACAAAAAUAGUUACAUUUUCUGCACACUGUGACCUGAGAAGUAUGUGUCAUUGUUUGUUUGUGUGUGUGUAUACAUGGUCAUCUCUAUUAUUCCCUGAAGUUUUGAUCACACUGUUCAUGGAGUUUUACUAAACAUUAUAUCAUGAACAAUUUAACCAUGUCAUUAAAUAUUCUUUGGAAUGCCCUUAUUGGUGCAUAAGUCCAGUAUACUGAUACAGUGUUCCUUCCUUCCCCUUCCUUCCUUUCCUCCACAACUACCCCAUUGUGAAACACUUACUUUGUUUCAAAUUGUUCAUUGUUAAAUGUAACGUUUUUAAAAAAUGUUUUAAAUCUUUU
Molecule: long non-coding RNA, 4353 nt
Organism: Herpailurus yagouaroundi (jaguarundi)
Lineage: Eukaryota; Metazoa; Chordata; Mammalia; Carnivora; Felidae
Exons: 2
Source: RefSeq, a predicted model, not a curated record